GUGGUCCUCUGUGGACAUCUUACUAGACAGUGCUGGAUUUUGUCACUGUACUCUAACACUGUCUGGUAACGAUGUUUAAAGAGCGAGCCA
This 90-nucleotide microRNA precursor is filed under the name Python bivittatus (Burmese python). RNAcentral describes it as "microRNA pbv-mir-200a precursor". Its record names the gene pbv-mir-200a. The stretch from base 11 to 79 matches the Rfam family "mir-8/mir-141/mir-200 microRNA precursor family". From Rfam's summary of the family: The bounds of the precursors are predicted based on conservation and base pairing and are not generally known. Lineage: Eukaryota; Metazoa; Chordata; Lepidosauria; Squamata; Pythonidae. The record is from miRBase by way of RNAcentral.